UAGUGCUUUCGUCCUGGAAUGGAGAAAGCACCAAACGCUCCGGCGCCGCAGGAUGCGACUGCGGCCGAUUAGGUAGACGGUGGGGUAACGGCCCACCGUGCCGAUAAUCGGUACGGGUAGUGAGAGCUAGAACCCGGAGACGGACUCUGAGACAAGAGUCCGGGCCCUACGGGGCGCAGCAGGCGCGAAACCUUUACACUGCGCGACAGCGCGAUAGGGGGACCCCAAGUGCGAGGGCAUACAGUCCUCGCUUUUUCCGACCGUAAGGUGGUCGGCGAAUAAGAGCUGGGCAAGACCGGUGCCAGCCGCCGCGGUAAUACCGGCAGCUCGAGUGAUGGCCGCUAUUAUUGGGCCUAAAGCGUCCGUAGCCGGCUAGACAGGUCCGUCGGGAAAUCCACCCGCUCAACGGGUGGGCGUCCGGCGGAAACCAGUUAGCUUGGGACCGAGCGACCUGAGGGGUACGUCUGGGGUAGGAGUGAAAUCCCGUAAUCCCGGACGGACCAUCGGUGGCGAAAGCGCCUCAGGAGAGCGGAUCCGACGGUGAGGGACGAAAGCUAGGGUCUCGAACCGGAUUAGAUACCCGGGUAGUCCUAGCCGUAAACGAUGCUCGCUAGGUGUG
RNAcentral lists this ribosomal RNA (619 nucleotides) under uncultured Halococcus sp. Its description in RNAcentral is "bacterial SSU rRNA". It matches the Rfam family "Archaeal small subunit ribosomal RNA", at positions 157 to 775 of the family's 1478-position model. The record is from RNAcentral. Lineage: Archaea; Methanobacteriati; Methanobacteriota; Halobacteria; Halobacteriales; Halococcaceae.